AUAUCAAUAAGCGGAGGAAAAGAAACCAACAGGGAUUGCCCCAGUAACGGCGAGUGAAGCGGCAACAGCUCAAAUUUGAAAUCUGACCUCCACGAGGGGUCCGAGUUGUAAUUUGCAGAGGAUGCUUCGGCGUCGGCCCCGGGCCAAGUCCCCUGGAACGGGGCGUCCUAGAGGGUGAGAACCCCGUACCCGCCCGGGUGCCCUUCGCCUCGUGAAGCUCCUUCGACGAGUCGAGUUGUUUGGGAAUGCAGCUCCAAGCGGGAGGUAAAUUUCUUCUAAAGCUAAAUACCGGCCAGAGACCGAUAGCGCACAAGUAGAGUGAUCGAAAGAUGAAAAGCACUUUGGAAAGAGAGUUAAAAAGCACGUGAAAUUGUUGAAAGGGAAGCUCUUGCCGCCAGACUUGCCACGGUCGCUCAGCCGCCCCCCGGGGCGGUGUACUCUUCCGUCGGCAGGCCAGCGUCGGUUCGGGCGGUCGGAUAAAGGCCCCGGGAAUGUAGCAUCCUCCGGGGUGUGUUAUAGCCCGGGGCGUAAUACGGCCAGCCCGGUCCGAGGGAUGCGUUCGCGAGGACGCUGGCGUAAUGGCUGCAAGCGACCCGUCUUGAAACACGGACCAAGGAGUCUAACAUCUGUGCGAGUGUUUGGGCGUCAAACCCAUGCGCGUAAUGAAAGUGAACGGAGGUGGGAACCCCCUCGAGGGGCGCACCAUCGACCGAUCCUGAUGUCUUCGGAUGGAUUUGAGUAAGAGCAUAGCUGUUGGGACCCGAAAGAUGGUGAACUAUUCCCGGAUAGGGUGAAGCCAGAGGAAACUCUGGUGGAGGCUCGCAGCGGUUCUGACGUGCAAAUCGAUCGUCAAAUCUAGGAAUAGGGGCGAAAGACUAAUCGAACCAU
RNAcentral lists this ribosomal RNA (888 nucleotides) under Lecanactis abietina. RNAcentral describes it as "LSU rRNA". It matches the Rfam family "Eukaryotic large subunit ribosomal RNA", at positions 40 to 943 of the family's 3401-position model. Lineage: Eukaryota; Fungi; Ascomycota; Arthoniomycetes; Arthoniales; Roccellaceae. The record is from RNAcentral.